GACGAACGCUGGCGGCGUGCUUAACACAUGCAAGUCGAACGGAAAGGCCCUGCUUUUGUGGGGUGCUCGAGUGGCGAACGGGUGAGUAACACGUGAGUAACCUGCCCUUGACUUUGGGAUAACUUCAGGAAACUGGGGCUAAUACCGGAUAGGAGCUCCUGCUGCAUGGGGGGGGUUGGAAAGUUUCGGCGGUUGGGGAUGGACUCGCGGCUUAUCAGCUUGUUGGUGGGGUAGUGGCUUACCAAGGCUUUGACGGGUAGCCGGCCUGAGAGGGUGACCGGCCUCCAUGGGCCUGAGGUACGGACCAGACUCCUACGGGCGGCAGAGGUGGGGAAUAUUGCACAAUGGGCGGAAGCCUGAUGCAGCAGCGCCGCGUGCGGGAUGACGGCCUUCGGGUUGUAAACCGCUUUCGCAUGUGACGAAGCGUGAGUGACGGUAAUGAGUAAAGAAGCACCGGCUAACUACGUG
RNAcentral lists this ribosomal RNA (468 nucleotides) under uncultured bacterium. RNAcentral's name for it is "partial 16S ribosomal RNA". It matches the Rfam family "Bacterial small subunit ribosomal RNA", at positions 28 to 507 of the family's 1533-position model. The record is from RNAcentral.